AUGUAUUUAUAAGCAAAAUGAAAUUAUGUUUGAGAAUUUCUUUAAAACAGCCAAAAUAAAAAGAGAUUGAGCAAUACACAGAAAGAAUUGGAAAAAUAUUGAAAAUUGUUGAAGCUGGGUGGUAGGUAUGUGCAAACUCAUUAAUUCUUCUAUUUUUGUGUUUGAAAUUUCCAUAAUAAGUUUUUUUUUGUUUGUUUAUUUGCUUUUUAGGGCCACACCUGGGGCACAUGGAGGUUUCCAGGCUAGGGGUUAAAUUGGAGCUAUACCUGCUUGCCUGCACCAUAGCCACAGCAAUGUGGGAUCCAAGCCACAUCUACAACCUAUACCACAGUUCACAACAAUGCCAGAUACUUAAUCCUCUGAGCAAGGCCAGGGAUUGAACCAACAUCUUUGUGGAUAUGCUGAUCCACAAUGGGAACUCCAAGAUUUUUUUUAAAAAGAAAGAAAAGAUGUGGCUAUUGAUUCAACAAUUAUCAGUGUGUACUUGAGCCAAACCUCAAAAGAGCAUGGAAAUGAAAAUCAGAAGGCUUAGUUUGGGUUGUUUUUUAAUUUAAGCAAGUCCUUCAACUCCUUUUAGACUCAUGAUUUCCUUGUCAUAAAGUUGAAAUCAUAAUGAUAGCUAUCUGCCUCCAAUGACACAUAGGACCAGUAUAAUAUAUGCAAAUGGGGGCUGUAACUAAGAAAGUAUUGUUAAUUAUCUAUCAUUUAUUUAGAAGCAAUUUUAAGAGCUUUCUUUGUGCAAGGCCCUUUCACAUGUGCUGCUCAGUUUUAUCCUCCCAUCUCACCUAUGAAGUUAGCAUUUGAUACACGGGUUUAGUAAACGGAGAAACCAAAGUGGCUGGGUACCGUAGGAUUCUCGGGGCCACAGGUCAAGUGAGCAUUAUUGCAGUGACUGGGCAGUCCUGGCUGGCUUCCACGCCAGGCUUCCUUCAGCCACUCAGGCACACUUCCCGGUUGAGCAGGAAAGUAUGGGCAUCCACCCAGGCCUUCUGAGUGAGCCCCUUGAUGGAUAAUUUACAAUCACAGACCUUCAGAAAUUGUCAGAAGUAGGAAAACCGCAAAGUAGCCUCUAGUAUCUUAUGUAAAAAUACUUGAAAAAUACUGAAAGCCAAAGGACAACUAGAGAGAGUGAAUACAAGUGCGAUAGAACUAAAUAAAACCUUGGAACAGACAGUGCCUUGCUUCCACUGUAGCUGAGGACAAAAUGAAAUUAAUAGCCUUACCGGCUUUAUGGUGAACUUGGUUCCCAAAGAAGCUGAACACUCAGGGAAUAGACGGGCCGUUAGUAGUAUCUUGAAAUCUUAACAAUGCUAAUGAACUUUCCUGUGCAUAUAAGUGAUGCCCCUAAUGACACCCACACUGUGACAUAGACCCUAGGAAAAAUAGUGCUUUAGAAGCCAGGAUUGCCUUAACAAUGCCUUCCUCUAGAGACUAACAUUUACUAAAGCUGUCAUUAAUUCCCAACAUAACGAGUUAACGCACACAGUGCUGGGAAUUACAUCCAAAUUGUGCUUAAAAAACAGGUCAUGUGUAAAUACAGCUAAUGGUAAGAGGCAAAGUGCAGGAAACAAUGCCAGCAUCAGCAGCAUCUUUGACUGCAAAGAAUAACUACAUGACACCAAGCUCAAUUUAAGCCUUCACUCCCACAAGGGUAGUUCUGCAUCACAAAUGAUCUAAGCUAUCAGCUUGAGGGAGCGUCUAAUAAUGAUAGAGGCUAAUAAUGAUAGGGUGUAAGGGUUUAUUAUUUUUUAUUAAAUCAAAUUUAUUAAGUCAAGUUUUAGCAAAUUAUUAACAGCCUCAGCAGUAAAGAAUUUGGAGGGAAGGAAUGAGGGUUUCAGAAUUUGUGAGACCUUUUGAGCUGUUGUAUCCUGGAGCCCAUCUUCACUGUUUGCACAGUUUGAGAGACAUGUUGACCAUGCAUCUGGUCAACCCCAGUAUUUCCUAUUGUGGGUCUUAUGGAGUAGUCUGCUUACUAUCUUUACUGUGCUAGCACCUACUCCUUAUGAUUAGGAUUUCUUUCUUUCCUUGAGAAGAAAAUACAGAUUCAAAGAUCCUGGAAAAAACACAGCUAUGACUACAGAAGAAACAGUGGGAUUACAUAAGGGGAUUAGGGGCCAUGAACAGGUUGAAUACAGGAUGGGAGAUCAGUUUUACUAUUUGUGUGUUGUGAGUAUGCAUGGGGUAUCACACUGUUUGGGAUGGAGGGACUGUUGUAAAAUGAGACAUCCCUUAGAAUCCACUUUACUAUCUCAUUUGACAUACAGAUAAUUUGGACUUUUGUAUUUUGGUGCCAUUUUUUAGCUGAUUUUAUAAGGUACUUGUUCAGUAAGGCAGAGGCCACUGUGAAGGAAUGUAAUUUAAAAAAGAACACUGGGCUGAGAAUUGAGAAGUCUGAGGCUUAACCCCUUUCUAAGCUUAAAUCAUUUAUUUGAGCUUAUCCUGUUUCCUCAUAUAUUUAAUGGAAUGAUUAGACCAUAAAUCAUUAUCGAGGGAUUCCUGUGUUGAGUGAGAUUCGUUGAUUGAUAAGGACCCUUCCAUCUUUAUAUUGCUGUGGUUUAACACAUUAAAAGCUAAAUGAAAUUUUAACUGUUGUUAUAUACUAACACUCAGCCUGUGUUUAUAUCACACUAGCGCAGAUAAUAAAUCAACAUGGCAACUCUCCGAAGAAAGCCAACUCAAAUAACUGACUGAAAUGUCUAUUGAAAAAAUUUUCCCUUUCUCAUUUUUAAUUUUAGACGUGCUGAACAUCAGUGUUACUUGGCAUUUAAUCUAGAAUGCAGUAAUUUAGACCACCCCCAUGUGAAUUAUUCACUCACUAAAUAAUUAAAUCCAUUCUCUGACAAUUUUUCAUAGAAAACUUUUGUCAUACAAAAAUAUGUCUUUUAAAUUGUCACCCAUCCUCCACCAAUAUUAAUAGACAUGGGUUGGACAGAACAUAGGUCAAAGCAGUACUGGUUUCUUAAGAGCAUUAAGUACAGCAAACCCAUUUUUGCCUUUUGGAGUGGCCUGGUUGGGUGUGAACGCUUAAAAAGAAGGGAUGAAUUUACAUAAUUCAGACCCUGAAAUCAGGUGAUGGACAGAAAGAGGUGAAAAGCCUGGAAAGUGAAUCCAGCUCUGUCACUUACAAGCUUUUGACUUUGUUCAACAUAUUAAUCAUUCUGAGCCUUAAUUUCCUCACUUGUAAAAUGGAUACAGUAAUCCAAUGCAAUAAUACAAUGUAAUGAGAGUUAAAUUAGUUAAUGCAUGGGAACAUUUAGAAUAUUCCAUGACAUAGUAAAUGUUCAGUGUAUAUUAAAUAAGACUGUAUAGGCCUAUAAACCUUACAUUUGUAAUGUUUUAUCACCUUUGAAAUGAAGCCAUUACUAUUAUUGUUCCUCAAUGGUGUCCUCUGAGGUCUUGCUUAGUACUGGUUAUGUUAAACUAUCUUAACUAUACAUUUCUCCCUGUGUAUUAGUGUUGACUUUCAUAUUCUGACAACUGUAAAGGAAUUACCUGUGAGACAAAUCUAGUCAACAUUUAUUUUCAUGUAAUUAAUUUUAAAAGUAUCAUGCUUCAAAUAUGUAGGUUUUUCAGGAUUUUUGGUUUUGGUUUUGGUUUUGUCUUUUAGGGCUGCACCCACGGCAUGUGGAGGUUUCCAGGCUAGGGGUCUAAUCGAAACUGUAGCUGCCGGCCUAAGCCAGAGCCACAGCAGUGCAGGAUCCAAGCCGCAUCUGUGACCUACACCACAGCUCAUGGUAACGCCAGAUCCUUAACCCACUGUGCGAGGCCAGGGAUCAAACCCGCAUCCUCAUGGAUGCUAGUUGGGUUCACUAAGCGCUGAUCCAUGAUGGGAACUCCAGGUUUCUCAAUAGCGCUGAUCCAUGAUGGGAACUCCAGGUUUCUCAGUUUUAAGUGGUUGAAUUUUCCAUACUUUAAAUUCUUAAAGUCUCGCCUUCACAUUGGUUGCAUGGACCUGUAGACUGUACACACACACACACACACACACACACACACACUGUACACACACACACACACCCCUACCUACCCACCCACACUCACCAAAUUAAAGCAAGGUAAGUCCUCUGGCACAUAAUUAGUUACAUCUGAGUAAACUAUAAAGCACUGACUUUUUUUUCCUGAAUCUUCUCACCUUAUCAUUCCCUUCUCUCUGUUAUUUAUACAACCUACUAAACUUCUAGAAUUGAAUCUUGGACAAACGAACUUGGACAUUGUGCAAUGUUUCACAAUAGAGAUGUGUUGCAGGGCCGUGUGAGUUUCCUUUGUGUCUAUCAAGUGAUCCUAUUUUAAACACACAUUCUUAGACAGCUGCUUUCUGCCUGUCCAUGGACUAGCUUAGCUCCAGCCAAACAGGAAGGCAUGGUAGGCUCAGGCACUGUGUUUUCGUCCACAGGACUUCUCCAUAAUGUUGUUGCCUGCAGAGACUCAAACAAAGCAAUGGGUGACAGAUAGAACAAACGUUUUGGAGACACAGAAAAGAUGUAACAUUUGUAGAUCCUAACCAGAUGUUUUAUAGGCAUUUAUUUGUUCCCCCUUUUUCCUCUUCCUGCAAAAACAGUUUAAAUUUAAUUAUACACAACAGACUAUAUAAUUACAACAGAUUCAUUAUAUACAACAGAUUCAUUUAUACAACAAAGUGUUGUCAUGUGAGCCCUUGAACAUUUUACCUAAGAGCCAAGAGGUUAGGUAACUGUUUGAAUUCAUAAGGAAAAACAGAUGUGGUUUCAGGGUCUCACACUAAUGGAAUUCAGGCUUUGGGGAAGAGUUGGAAAUCUUGCCUUUCUCUGAAGGUGCCACUCUUUGGUUUGCCUCCUAAUCCAGAGGGCCUAGGCUGAGUGUCUUAGAAAAACAAGUCAAAGUUAUUCAUUCUUCCUGCUUAAAGUUAUUUAGUGAAUUUAUAACAAAGUCAAUAAUGAAUAUUCUCAUUUAUUUGAUAAAUUCUAUUUUGGUAAUACUAGCUAGUAAACCCCAAAGCCAUUAUAUAUAAGAGUGAUUAUAAAUAGUGGACGAUAAAUUUUUCAUGAAGUAUUUUUGCUUUUAUCCAACGUACCAAUAGUUGAAUCAAUUUAUUCUAUUAAAGAUAAAAAAAAUCACUAUGGAAACUAGAAUGUAUGUGAACAAAUUCUACAUCAUAUCUCCUAAUUAUCCCUUGAAAUGCUUUUCCUUCAAUAUUAACUUCAAUGACAAUUCCCAAACAUGUCUGAUUAUUUGUAACUUGGGAUAUUUUAUAGGAACUUGAGGUUUUUUUGUUUUUUUUUUGCCUUUUUUUAAAUUUUAGGGCCACAUCUGUGGAAUAUGGAGGUUCCUGGGCUAGGGGUCCAAUUGGAGCUGUAGCUGCUAGCCUACAUCAUAGCCACAGCAACACGGGAUCCGAGCCAUGUCGGCAACCUACACCAUAGCUCAUGGCAACACCAUAUCCUCAACCCACUGAGCAAGGCCAGGGAUUGAACCUGCAUCCUCGUGGAUGCUAGUCAAAUUUGUUUCCACUGAGCCUCGAUAGAAACUCUAGAAACUUGACUUCUUUGGACCACCUUAAACUUAGGACAUCAGAAUAUUCAAGGAUAGAGUAUGAAAAUAUGUAUUUUUAGAAAUCUUCAAAUGGUUUUGCUGAUUAUCCCAUUUUUGGAAUUACUGAUCCACACAGGAGGUUUGUUAAUUGGUUAUUUGCAUCAAGGCAAAUCGUUCCUGAUGCUUAAUAGCAAAAAGCCAACACUUGAUCCUAGGGUACCCAAGAUUUUGUCUUGGAGCAUGCAUUCACAUUAGGUCUAAAUAAUUUACCACACUGGUAAGAGGCAAAGUUAGAACUCCAAGUUGUCCAGAAACUUGGUCAAAGCAUUCAUUUUCUGCCUCAACAUUCUGAGGCCCAGAAUGAUGAUGGAACAUUUAAAAUGAGCACAUCUGGACUUAAUUUCAGGAACACAGCAUGAACUACAUUUGUGGUCUCCAAUGCCUUCUAGUGAUUGCCAACUUUUUAAUUAUAAAUCUGUACUGUGAAGAAUCUACCCACAUGCAUAUUACCAUUUCCCUCAGUUUUCCUAACAAGGCUUCUCCUUGCCUAUAGGGCCCUGACAUCCCUUUCCUUAGAGCAUUUGUGUUUGAAAACUCAUAAAUUAUUUUUCUAUCUGAAAUGUAAAUCUUUAAAAAAAGCUUCUUGCCAGUUUUGCAACUUUAAACUCUUUCUCAGGGACAUGGGAGUCAUCUUUUUGAAAUAUAAUCCUCAAGAAGCAGAGUGUCCCAAUUUCCCAUCCUCUGUAGAAGGUUAUGAACCUAACUUCCGAGGGUAACUCGCUGUGAGUUGUAAAACUUAUUCCUACCAUGAAGAUGUGAAAACAUUUAGUUUUCCUCUGGGCAAGGAUAAUUACUAAACCCAGGUGUCCUGUGUUCCCCACCUUCCCCAGCUCUUAAAAACUCUCCAGCUCUUUGUUUCAGUGGAGUUUAGCUCAGACUGCAUUCUAGUCUCUCUCCCCUAUUGCAGUAGCAUUGAAUAAAAUCUUCCUUGACUGUUUAACAUUGUCUAAUAUAAUUUGUGCUUUCACGCAGGUACUGGGUGUGUUAUAGUAAUAGUCACUCGUGUAGUAUUCUAGUAUAUUUCAUCUGUUUUCGAAUAAGGACACAGUUUCCUGUUAGCCUUGUAUCUAUUUCUUGGAGGGCAUAUGUGCCAUCUAUCUAAAAGAGAAAUGAGCAUGCUGACUAUAUGUUAGAGUAAUAUACACUAACUGUAUAUGAUAGUAAUAUAUACUCACUAUAUGUAAUUUUAAAAUAUAUUAGCUAUAUAUUACAGUAUGCUAGAUGAUGGAAAGGGCUUUAGCUCCAUAGGUCACUGCCAGGCUUUAUACUAAGUAACUGGAUAGAAGUUAAUACUGCAAGGGUAUUAAAAUGUCUGUUACAACUGCAGAAGCCUGAGCUCUCUAGUCUUCAUCUCUGAUCAGAGAGGGAGGCUUAAAAAUAAGAAAUAAAGCAAAGCCCUUAGGCCUUAUUAAAUUCAUGUACAUAUAGAGAGCAUGACAAAAUUGGUGAGCUCUUCAUCAGUUUAAAAUUGUUGAGGGAAAGUUUUUUUUCAGCCUUAUUUUUCUGUUGAAGCCCAGAAAGUCACAACAGUAGAUCUAUUCAAAUUGAAAAGAACAGAAUAUCAUUCAUUGAUCUUUCUUGGUGCCCAGAUGACUGUGGAUAUCCCAGACGCUAGCUCACAAAAGCAAAAGUAUGCUAAUAAUAAUAAAAGAAAGCUGUGUCUGGGGAGGAGGGGACAAACAUUCAGAGCUAAGGGACACUUUAGAAACCUCAUUAAAUUACAGUCAAGGAUGACGUGUGGUGAAAUAUUCCUUCUAUAGAGGCAUAUUUUCUUUCUACAUCAGUUUGGUAGGGCUGCUGGAACAAAUUCCACAAAGAGUGGCUUAAAAAACAGAAAUUUAUUGUCACAAAGAUCUGGAUGCUAGAAGUCCAAGAUUGAGAUGUCAACAGGGAAAAAAAACAUCAGCAGGCUUGGUUCCUUCCGAGGGUGUAGGAGAAAGUCUGCUCCCCGCUAUCCUCUAGCUUAUGGGUUUGCUGACAAUCUUUGGUAUUCUUUGGCUUGCAGAGGCAUCAUUUCUUUGCCUUCAUCUUCAUGGUGUUUCUCAUGUGUAUGUGUACCUUUGUAUGUAAAUUUCCCUUAAAAAAAAGAUUUCUAUAUUAUAUAUUAUAGUUGAUAUACAGUGUUCUGUCAGUUUCCGCAGUACAGCAGAGUGAUCCAGUCUCUCUUUCUCUCUCUCUCUCACACACACACAUGUACAUUCUUUUUCUCACAUUAUCCUCCAUCAUGUUCCGUGAAAUUUCCCCUUUUUUAGAAGGACACUAGUCAUAUUGGAUUAGGGCCCACCCAAAUGUCCUAAUUUUAACUAAUUAAAUCUACAAAGACUUUAUUUUGAAAUAAGAUCAUAUUCUGAGGUACUUGGGGUUAGAACUUUAACAUAUGAAUUGGAGCAGGGCACAAUUCAACACAUAAUACCUAGGGAUUUAUUUUUUAAAAAAAAGCCUUUUUUGUUCUGGUCAUGUUAAGUUUUCAGUUAGACUAUGAAUGCAGCUCUUUUCUACUUAAAGUGUAGUCUGCAUCAUCCAGAAACUUGUUCAACUUGCAGUUUUUCUGGCCCAACUUUAGGCCUACUAAGCGGGAAGCUGUAUUGAAACAAGAUUUCUGGCUGAUUCACAUUCACACUCAAGUUGGAGAAGUGCUGCUGUAGCCUCAUCGUGUUUCCUUUCCUGGCUGGUUUUGCAAAUAGAUAUGAACUAAGCUUUACUCUCACUUGCAGCAAUUUCUCUUUCUAAACCUUCUCUGUCACAGUUUUUCUCCUCUCAUUCCUAUUCCCUUUUGGUAUGUGAGUCUUAUUUUUGUGUAAAAUAAGUCUUAUUCUGGUAUGUGAGACUUAUUUUUGUUAACAAUUAGCUUUGUGUUUUAUCACAUCUCUUUAGAGAUUAUUAUAUCUGUUCUUUUAUUUGAAAUCACCUUCAGUCAUUUUUUUUUUUUUUUUUCCUGUUUUUGGGCCGCACCUAUGGCCUAUGGAGGUCCUCAGGCUAGGGGGUCAAAUUACAGCCAUAGCUGCCAGCCUACACCACAGCCACAGCAACGCCAGAACCAAGCUGAUCUGCGACCUACACCACAGCUUGCAGCAAUGGACGCCAGAUCCUUAACCCACUGAGCAAAGCCAGGGAUCAAACCCACAUGCUCAUGGACACUAUGUUAGGUUCUUAACCCACUGAGCUCCAAUAGGAACUUCACCUUCAGUCACUUGUAGGAAGGGUACAGAUUAGAGUCUGUCUUCCAUCCCAGCUGUCUAAUAAUAAAGUCUCUUUCCCUUUCAAGGCCUCUGUGACCACUGCUAAUAUCAGCACUGCUCCUGGGCUACUAACUCCAUACCACAGCACAGAGUUGGAGUGGGAAUCUGGGUAGACAUUGGCCAUGUCUCCUGGGUUUUUUGAAACAUUUUAUUUAACUGUGGAGUGAGGAAUUGGUCUUUUAAAAUGGUAUAUUGUCUAGUAGUUUGAUAAUAAAAGAUGUGAGUAGAUGGUUGGUUAAAUGUGUGUCUGGAGUUUUGAUGCAGCAAGGAGAAAAAUAAAUAGUGGUAUUCAUUUUAAAAAGUAGUAUAACCAGCAGAAUCCUGUGGUUGGAAGAGAUGCGUUUUGGGAGUCAAAGAGAUCUGGGCUUGAAUCAGAAUAAUCCAUUCAUUAUGCUUAUGACAUGAGGUGAGAUAGUCAAUCCAUCUAAGCCUCAGAUUUCUCACCUGUAAAAAAAAAAAAA
This 9265-nucleotide long non-coding RNA is filed under the name Sus scrofa (pig). RNAcentral's name for it is "lncRNA (ENSSSCG00065038223.1)". Lineage: Eukaryota; Metazoa; Chordata; Mammalia; Artiodactyla; Suidae. The record is from RNAcentral.